UGGGGAAUAUUGGACAAUGGGGGCAACCCUGAUCCAGCAAUGCCGCGUGUGUGAAGAAGGCCUGAGGGUUGUAAAGCACUUUAGGUGGGGAGGAUGGUAGAGCAGGUUAAGAGCUAGUUUUAUUGACGUUACCCGCAGAAUAAGCACCGGCUAACUCCGUGCCAGCAGCCGCGGUAAUACGGAGGGUGCAAGCGUUAAUCGGAAUUACUGGGCGUAAAGAGUGCGUAGGCGGUUAGGGAAGUUAUCUGU
RNAcentral lists this ribosomal RNA (249 nucleotides) under uncultured Legionellaceae bacterium. RNAcentral describes it as "partial 16S ribosomal RNA". It matches the Rfam family "Bacterial small subunit ribosomal RNA", at positions 355 to 595 of the family's 1533-position model. The record is from RNAcentral. Lineage: Bacteria; Pseudomonadati; Pseudomonadota; Gammaproteobacteria; Legionellales; Legionellaceae.